Molecule: ribosomal RNA, 465 nt
Filed under: uncultured Klebsiella sp.
Lineage: Bacteria; Pseudomonadati; Pseudomonadota; Gammaproteobacteria; Enterobacterales; Enterobacteriaceae
Description: bacterial SSU rRNA
Rfam family: Bacterial small subunit ribosomal RNA
Source: RNAcentral
ACUACGGGAGGCUGCAGUGGGGAAUAUUGCACAAUGGGCGCAAGCCUGAUGCAGCCAUGCCGCGUGUGUGAAGAAGGCCUUCGGGUUGUAAAGCACUUUCAGCGGGGAGGAAGGCGUUAAGGUUAAUAACCUUGGCGAUUGACGUUACCCGCAGAAGAAGCACCGGCUAACUCCGUGCCAGCAGCCGCGGUAAUACGGAGGGUGCAAGCGUUAAUCGGAAUUACUGGGCGUAAAGCGCACGCAGGCGGUCUGUCAAGUCGGAUGUGAAAUCCCCGGGCUCAACCUGGGAACUGCAUUCGAAACUGGCAGGCUAGAGUCUUGUAGAGGGGGGUAGAAUUCCAGGUGUCGCGGUGAAAUGCGUAGAGAUCUGGAGGAAUACCGGUGGCGAAGGCGGCCCCCUGGACAAAGACUGACGCUCAGGUGCGAAAGCGUGGGGAGCAAACAGGAUUAGAUACCCUAGUAGUC